Molecule: ribosomal RNA, 253 nt
Filed under: uncultured bacterium
Lineage: Bacteria
Description: partial 16S ribosomal RNA
Rfam family: Bacterial small subunit ribosomal RNA
Source: RNAcentral
UACGAAGGGGGCUAGCGUUGUUCGGAAUCACUGGGCGUAAAGCGCACGUAGGCGGAUCUUUAAGUCAGGGGUGAAAUCCCGGGGCUCAACCUCGGAACUGCCUUUGAUACUGGGGAUCUCGAGUCCGGGAGAGGUGAGUGGAAUUGCGAGUGUAGAGGUGAAAUUCAUAGAUAUUCGCAAGAACACCAGUGGCGAAGGCGGCUCACUGGCCCGGUACUGACGCUGAGGUGCGAAAGCGUGGGGAGCAAACAGG